GUGGAAGCGACGCCAGAUGCUCUCUUCCGCGGGUCCUGCCUUUUUUAUGGCUCUCCUCCGCGAUUCGCUGAUCCAAUACAUUUUACCGUUGAUAAGACUAUAUAUGGGUUAUGGGCGAGAAAGUGGCACCCCCUCAAAGACGUCUGUUCCUUUUUCAAACACUGUGCUGAGACGUAGGCUACAGCCAAGGAAGUCCGUUUGGGGAGUGGGGGUCAGUUUAUGCACAAGGAAGUGAAGGUGGACAACAAAAACAUGAUCUUUGACUGGAAUUGCUAAUUUCAUUCUGCUCACAGGUCCAGGGGAGUCCGUCACAGCUGUCGCACAUGAACAGUGGAGGAGGAACCAGAGACCUGUCCAAACACACUGUGAUUGGCUGCAUGGUAUACUGACGAGGAGGCACACAAAGGUUUCACCGUCCCUCUACCGCUGAUGAAUUUGACUGAAACCUGUUCGAUCACCAUGCACUGCAUGGGGGGAGGGGGGGUACAGACUUCCUACCAAACUCAGUUACCUGAGAGGAAGGAAACCGCUCAGGGAUUUUACCAAUGGUGACUUUAAAACAGUUACAGAGAAAACUGAGGAUUGAUCAAUAACAUUGUAGUUACUCCCAAAAAAUAUUACAAAAGACCUGUUUGCAGAAGGCACUAAAGUAAUACUGCAAAAUUAUGGCAAAGCAAUUAUCUUUUUGUCCUGAAUACAAAGUGUUGUUUGGUGCAAAUCCAAUAGAACACAUUACUGAGUACCACUCUCUAUAUUUUCAAACAUAAUGGCGGCUGCAUCAUGUUAUGGGCAUGCUUGUAAUCUUUAACGACUGUGGAGUUUUUCAGGAUAAAAUGUAACAGAAUGGAGCUAAGCACAGGACAAAUCCUCAAGGAAAAAUCCUAGUGGAAUCCUAGAAUUUUAAAAAGAAUAAUGUGCAAAUGUUGCACAAUCCAGGUGUGGAAAAAGCUCUUAGAGACUCACAGCUGUAAUCGCUGCCAAAGGUGCUGCAACAAAGUUUUGCGAAUACUUUCAUUUAAUUUUCAAUAAAUGUUCAAUAAUUUCUAAAAACAUGUUUUCACUUUGCCAUUAUGGGGUAUUGUGUAUAGAUGGGUGAGAAAAUAAGACUAACAUAACAAAAUGUGGAAUAAGUCAAGGGGUAUGAAUACUUUCUGAAAGCACUGUAUGUACUUUGAAGCAGACUAAAGCAUUAGAUAAAUAGUUUGCAGUGAUCACUAAUGUUCUCCCUGGGGUGUCUGCCCAUCUCAUGUUAUGGCAGGCAGCUGUCAUUCUCUUGUUAGCCUGGGUUUUACUGGCACAGGCACAGCAUGCCGCUCAUACACACAGA
Long non-coding RNA from Oncorhynchus nerka (sockeye salmon), 1327 nucleotides. RefSeq lists it as uncharacterized. The record is from RefSeq and is a predicted model, not a curated record. The transcript is spliced from 4 exons. NCBI's taxonomy places the organism in Eukaryota, Metazoa, Chordata, Actinopteri, Salmoniformes, Salmonidae.